Molecule: unclassified non-coding RNA, 200 nt
Filed under: Helotiales sp.
Lineage: Eukaryota; Fungi; Ascomycota; Leotiomycetes; Helotiales
Description: partial internal transcribed spacer 2
Source: RNAcentral
UUAAGUUCAGCGGGUAUCCCUACCUGAUCCGAGGUCAACCAUAGAAAAUUAGGGGUUCUGGCAGGAUACCUCUAAGGCUCUAUAGCGAGAGAAGUUACUACGCUUAGAGCCAAAAGGCACCGCCACUAGUUUUAAGAACUGUCUUGUGACAGGCUCUAACACCAAGCUAAGCUUGAGGGUUAUAAUGACGCUCGAACAGG